CCUACGGGGGGCUGCAGUGGGGAAUAUUGCACAAUGGGCGCAAGCCUGAUGCAGCCAUGCCGCGUGUGUGAAGAAGGCCUUCGGGUUGUAAAGCACUUUCAGCGGGGAGGAAGGCGUUAAGGUUAAUAACCUUGUCGAUUGACGUUACCCGCAGAAGAAGCACCGGCUAACUCCGUGCCAGCAGCCGCGGUAAUACGGAGGGUGCAAGCGUUAAUCGGAAUUACUGGGCGUAAAGCGCACGCAGGCGGUCUGUCAAGUCGGAUGUGAAAUCCCCGGGCUCAACCUGGGAACGGCAUUCGAAACUGGCAGGCUAGAGUCUUGUAGAGGGGGGUAGAAUUCCAGGUGUAGCGGUGAAAUGCGUAGAGAUCUGGAGGAAUACCGGUGGCGAAGGCGGCCCCCUGGACAAAGACUGACGCUCAGUGCGAAAGCGUGGGGAGCAAACAGGAUUAGAUACCCUUGUAGUC
RNAcentral lists this ribosomal RNA (464 nucleotides) under uncultured Klebsiella sp. RNAcentral's name for it is "bacterial SSU rRNA". It matches the Rfam family "Bacterial small subunit ribosomal RNA", at positions 338 to 795 of the family's 1533-position model. Lineage: Bacteria; Pseudomonadati; Pseudomonadota; Gammaproteobacteria; Enterobacterales; Enterobacteriaceae. The record is from RNAcentral.